Molecule: long non-coding RNA, 707 nt
Organism: Ictalurus punctatus (channel catfish)
Lineage: Eukaryota; Metazoa; Chordata; Actinopteri; Siluriformes; Ictaluridae
Source: Ensembl
CAUUAUAACUCUUUCUGUGUGUGUGUGUGUGUGUCAGUUGAACCUUUUUCUGAACUCAUGUAGCUUAUAUGUAAUGAUAUAUACAUAGGAAACAAUUCACGCCUCUCAGCCAAUCAGCAACGAGUAUUUUCCACAGCUGUGGAACCCAGUCAGUUCUUCAAUUUUCAACCCACAAUCAUCAUAUGACAUCUGAGCUCACUGCUGCAGCAACAUUUACUCAACAUAUGAAACAGCGUAUGUGGAUGUGAUUUCUGCGUCAGGGAUCAUCUGACGUCUGUGUGGUGAUGAGGUUGAGCUCAUCAACAUAAAUGCUGAUUCACGCUUAUUCCGCAAGCAAACUCGGAAUGUUUAUGGAACUUCUUGGCUUUUCUGAAGAUGUAUAUUGAACAGGAAGUGGGUGGGGGUUAAUAAGGAAGUAGCAACACCCCAGUGGUGUGUCCAAGUUCUUAGGUUUGGGGUGGCCAACAGGGGCUGGCACAUGUGCUCAAGAACUUGGACACACAUACUGUAUGUGCAGUAAAUACAACCCCAAUUCCAAAGAAAACCAACAGAACGCAAUAAUUAGCAAAUCUCAUAAACCCGCACGUUAUUCACAAUAGAACGUAGAAAACAUAUCAAAUGUUUAAACUGAGGAAAUGUAAAAAAAUAAAUAAAUAAGCUGAUUUUGAAUUCGAUGCCUGCAACAGGUCUCAAAAAGUUGGGACGGG